Long non-coding RNA from Mauremys reevesii (Reeves's turtle), 515 nucleotides. RefSeq lists it as uncharacterized. The record is from RefSeq and is a predicted model, not a curated record. The transcript has 3 exons. Lineage: Eukaryota; Metazoa; Chordata; Testudines; Geoemydidae.
CGGACAACCUCCAUUCCUGAGGUAUCUAACUCUGAGGAUCUACUGUAAUCAGGUUAAGGAGACUGUGUGCUGUCACCAAAUCCCGCAUUUAUUUUAAGCAUUCCCACUAUAGAAGAAAUACAGAAAACAUCAAUAAAGAAAACAAAGGAGCAACAUGGCUAAAACAACAUUGCAAAUAUCUUGCAAAACUCAUCUGGAAAGGCAUCACAUCACAGAAUGAAACUUCUUUACAUCUCCCAAGACAUGUUUCUGUGAUUUGUCUUAAACAGAAUGGCAGUUCUGUCUUCAAUCACAUAUAAACCCAGCUGUUCCCAGCAGAAAAUGAAAAUGAGGCCUUCCAGAGACCCUAACUUUGCACAAAUACCAGUGCCUUUCGUAUCAGAGAGAGACAUCCUUGGAUGCCGUCAUAGGAGACAUGGGGAUGGACAGGAAGAAAGGCAGUCUUUCACCAAAUAAACCUUCUUGUGCUACAAUUAAACUCUGUUCACAGUUAGCUUUUUUUGACAAAAAAUAGA